RNAcentral lists this unclassified non-coding RNA (220 nucleotides) under Hevea brasiliensis (rubber tree). Lineage: Eukaryota; Viridiplantae; Streptophyta; Magnoliopsida; Malpighiales; Euphorbiaceae. The record is from RNAcentral.
CCACUGCGUAUCACAUUCAACAAAUUUAAGUGGCAUUCCAUGACUUUCCCUGCAUAGUUCUUCUGAAAUGCUUGAGCAAAGGCUCUACUUUCUGGAUUCUUAAGUUUCAAAUCUCCAAACCGGGUGUAAAGCCUAUUUAAAAUAUGGACAGUCCACUUCUUCACUUUCCACCACCCCCAGGAUUUCCUAAGUUCAGGAUCUGCAGGCUGGCCUUCCAAGG